RNAcentral lists this ribosomal RNA (1168 nucleotides) under Staphylococcus aureus. RNAcentral's name for it is "bacterial SSU rRNA". It matches the Rfam family "Bacterial small subunit ribosomal RNA", at positions 8 to 1157 of the family's 1533-position model. Lineage: Bacteria; Bacillati; Bacillota; Bacilli; Caryophanales; Staphylococcaceae. The record is from RNAcentral.
AGAGUUUGAUCCUGGCUCAGGAUGAACGCUGGCGGCGUGCCUAAUACAUGCAAGUCGAGCGAACGGACGAGAAGCUUGCUUCUCUGAUGUUAGCGGCGGACGGGUGAGUAACACGUGGAUAACCUACCUAUAAGACUGGGAUAACUUCGGGAAACCGGAGCUAAUACCGGAUAAUAUUUUGAACCGCAUGGUUCAAAAGUGAAAGACGGUCUUGCUGUCACUUAUAGAUGGAUCCGCGCUGCAUUAGCUAGUUGGUAAGGUAACGGCUUACCAAGGCAACGAUGCAUAGCCGACCUGAGAGGGUGAUCGGCCACACUGGAACUGAGACACGGUCCAGACUCCUACGGGAGGCAGCAGUAGGGAAUCUUCCGCAAUGGGCGAAAGCCUGACGGAGCAACGCCGCGUGAGUGAUGAAGGUCUUCGGAUCGUAAAACUCUGUUAUUAGGGAAGAACAUAUGUGUAAGUAACUGUGCACAUCUUGACGGUACCUAAUCAGAAAGCCACGGCUAACUACGUGCCAGCAGCCGCGGUAAUACGUAGGUGGCAAGCGUUAUCCGGAAUUAUUGGGCGUAAAGCGCGCGUAGGCGGUUUUUUAAGUCUGAUGUGAAAGCCCACGGCUCAACCGUGGAGGGUCAUUGGAAACUGGAAAACUUGAGUGCAGAAGAGGAAAGUGGAAUUCCAUGUGUAGCGGUGAAAUGCGCAGAGAUAUGGAGGAACACCAGUGGCGAAGGCGACUUUCUGGUCUGUAACUGACGCUGAUGUGCGAAAGCGUGGGGAUCAAACAGGAUUAGAUACCCUGGUAGUCCACGCCGUAAACGAUGAGUGCUAAGUGUUAGGGGGUUUCCGCCCCUUAGUGCUGCAGCUAACGCAUUAAGCACUCCGCCUGGGGAGUACGACCGCAAGGUUGAAACUCAAAGGAAUUGACGGGGACCCGCACAAGCGGUGGAGCAUGUGGUUUAAUUCGAAGCAACGCGAAGAACCUUACCAAAUCUUGACAUCCUUUGACAACUCUAGAGAUAGAGCCUUCCCCUUCGGGGGACAAAGUGACAGGUGGUGCAUGGUUGUCGUCAGCUCGUGUCGUGAGAUGUUGGGUUAAGUCCCGCAACGAGCGCAACCCUUAAGCUUAGUUGCCAUCAUUAAGUUGGGCACUCUAAGUUGACUGCCGGAG